UUUUGUCCAUUUUAAUUUUGCAUUUAUUUUAAUUCCAAAAAUACCAAAAAAAUAUAUUUGACUUGUUGACUUCCAAUCUUCAUUUCUCUUCUGUUUACCAUUGGUUGAUGAUGAUUUGAUUCACAUUAGACCAUUUGUGUUUGACACUUUAUUUCUUUGUUCAUUUCAUUUCAUCUUCGUCUUAUUUCGUUUAUUUUGGCCAAUGAGUUAAUGUCUUAUGGUUGGUCUUGACAUAUGAG
RNAcentral lists this long non-coding RNA (239 nucleotides) under Lathyrus oleraceus (garden pea). Its description in RNAcentral is "Pisum sativum (pea) long non-coding RNA (PSAT_LNC016193)". The record is from RNAcentral. Lineage: Eukaryota; Viridiplantae; Streptophyta; Magnoliopsida; Fabales; Fabaceae.